UGUGAAUGUACCAGUUGGAUGUAAGAUAUCGGGGACGAUGAGUCGUCGGCCAUGGCGGUCGAAAAGCACACACCAAGCCACCUAAUUAACUUGUUCGUCGGCGCACAGAUGGAGCAGAUAACAGACGGUAGUAGCUUCCGCAGCUCACUCAAGAACCACUAACUUCAGACUUGACAGUAAAGAACAAUACACAAAAACGAACCUGAAUCAGAGCAAAAGAAAUGUUGUGAGUCUAAAGAUCCAACUCUACUGCAUAAGAAACUCACAACAAUGGAUCCAGCUCUAUUUUAAAUCCAUUUCUCACCAUGGAUCCAGCUCUACUUCAAAUCAAUUUGAUUGCACACGCAUUCAAACUGAACCAAACCAAGAUGUGCAUCAUUUUAAAACGGAAUCAAAUUGCACAAUGACAAUCAACACCUCCAAAACAACAAUAUAUUACUGUUACUCAUGCAUCUUCAGUACAAUCUUCAGUAGCUCAAUUAACCACUAACUUACUGUAACUUAGGCACCAUAUAUACAGGGUAUAAAAACAGAAUUGCAGAGCACUUGCAGACUUCUACUGUAUCACACUACAGACUUGGAGGAGGAGGGACACUUGUGCAUACAUUUUCAUUUUGUGACCAUCAACCAAUGUUACUCAGUACCCAUAGAAAUAUAACUUACUGUAGCCAGAACCCAUAUGAAGUUUUCCCGUGAAUGCAAAACCAAGUGGCGGAGGUAGAGGAACAAUGAAUUUACUUCAUAAACCAAUUCAAAUCAGUAAUGUUGAGAAAGUUAACCUGAGUAUUAAACUGUAAUAUUGUGUGUGUGUGUGUGUGUGUGUGUGAUACAUGAUCAUCAGAUAAUUAAGGGUCACACGAUGUGCUCAGUAUAAAGAUUAUGCCCAAUCAUAUACACAGUUGCCUAUUUUUGCAAGAACAAAAUAGACUAUUGCUACAGGAGAUAGAAGUGAAAAAACUUCAUCAUCGGCACACAAUAUAUACAAUGUUCGGAAACAUAGAGAAGAAAUGCAGUCAAUGUUCUUAAUAUAUCAAUAGAGAAGAUCACCUGCAUGGCGUGUUGCGGAUGAAUCAGGUGAGAAGGGUGCCGAUAGGGCUGCGACCACAUUAUCCUUCUUCCCUCCUCUCAGCGCAUAACAAAGAUUAGGAACUGAGAUUGUGGAGUGUGCCUACUGCAUUGCAGAACAAAUGAGAGAACUGGUUCCGUGAUAGCCUGCAGCUGCUCCUGGUCCUAAGAAAAACGGAAAUAUAAUCAAUUUCCUCUGUUUUUGCCCUAUGGUCAAUAUGAAUAUUUAUGUAAUGCUUCUGCUUAUUGAAAAUGGCAUGCACAACUAUUUAAAUAAUGAACUCCUCAUCAUGGGGAGGCAGAUCUCUAUUAUGAGCAGAUACUCUCUUGUUCAUGAAUAGGAGUAAUUCACAUGAUUAGAGUACAAAACGGGUGCUAUAAGACAAUGUAUAAGAAAAACAGCUACAACAGCAGGGUUGCACAAGCUACCUCAAAAUUGUCAGCAUAAUAUGGCAUUGAAGAAACAGCUACCAACUGACUUGUAUCAUGGGGACAGGUCGGUAUAUAAAACUGACUUGUUCAUAGACAUUUAUCCAAAUGAGGGUUACAGACUUCAUUCUUAGAAAAGAGCAGAUGUACAUUAUCAUUUGUGGCGAGUAUUGUUGGGGAACGUAGUAAUUUCAAAAAUUUCCUACGCACACGCAAGAUCAUGGUGAUGCAUAGCAAUGAGAGGGGAGAGUGUUGUCCACGUACCCUCGUAGACCGAAAGCGGAAGCGUUAGCACAACGCGGUUGAUGUAGUCGUAUGUCUUCACGAUCCGACCGAUCAAGUACCGAACACACGGCACCUCCGAGUUCAGCACACGUUCAGCUCGAUGACGUCCCUCGAACUCCGAUCCAGCCGAGCUUUGAGGGAGAGUUCUGUCAGCACGACGGCAUGGUGACGAUGAUGAUGUUCUACCGACGCAGGACUUCGCCUAAGCACCGCUACGAUAUUAUCGAGGUGUAAUAUGGUGGAGGGGGGCACCGCACACGGCUAAGAGAUCAAUGAUCAAUUGUUGUGUCUAUGGGGUGCCCCCUGCCCCCGUAUAUAAAGGAGCAAGGGGGAAGGCGGCCGGCCAAGGAGGAGGGCGCGCCAAGGGGGGAGUCCUACUCCCACCGGGAGUAGGACUCCUCCUUUCCUUGUUGGAGUAGGAGAGAAGGAAAGAGGGGGAGAGGGAGAAGGAAAAGGGGGUUGCACCCCUUGUCCAAUUCGGACCAGAGGGGGUGCACGCCUCCUUCCUUUUGGCCUCUCUCCUCUAUUCCCGUAUGGCCCAAUAAGGCCCAAUACUUCUCCCCGGCGAAUUCCCGUAACUCUCCGGUACUCCGAUAAAUACCCGAAUCACUGGGAACCUUUCCGAAGUCCGAAUAUAGUCAUCCAAUAUAUCGAUCUUUACGUCUCGGCCAUUUCGAGACUCCUCGUCAUGUCCCCGAUCUCAUCCGGGACUUCGAACUACCUUCCGUACAUCAAAACACAUAAACUCAUAAUAUAACCGUCAUCGAACUUUAAGCGUGCGGACCCUACGGGUUCGAGAACUAUGUAGACAUGACCGAGACACGUCUCCGGUCAAUAACCAAUAGCGGAACCUGGAUGCUCAUAUUGGCUCCCACAUAUUCUACGAAGAUCUUUAUCGGUCAGACCGCAUAACAACAUAUGUUGUUCCCUUUGUCAUCGGUAUGUUACUUGCACGAGAUUCGAUCGUCGGUAUCUCAGUACCUAGUUCAAUCUUGUUACCGACAAGUCUCUUUACUCGUUCCAUAAUACAUCAUCCCACAACUAACUCUUUAGUUGCAAUGCUUGCAAGGCUUAAGUGAUGUGCAUUACCGAGAGGGCCCAGAGAUACCUCUCCGACAAUCGGAGUGACAAAUCCUAAUCUCGAAAUACGCCAAUCCAACAAGUACCUUCGGAGACACCUGUAGAGCACCUUUAUAAUCACCCUGUUACGUUGUGACGUUCGGUAGCACACAAAGUGUUCCUCCGGUAAACGGGAGUUGCAUAAUCUCAUAGUCAUAGGAACAUGUAUAAGUCAUGAAGAAAGCAAUAGCAGAAUACUAAACGAUCGUGUGCUAAGCUAACGGAAUGGGUCAAGUCAAUCACAUCAUUCUCCUAAUGAUAUGAUCCCGUUAAUCAAAUGACAACUCAUGUCUAUGGCUAGGAAACAUAACCAUCUUUGAUCAACGAGCUAGUCAAGUAGAGGCAUACUAGUGACACUCUGUUUGUCUAUGUAUUCACACAUGUAUCAGGUUUCCGGUUAAUAUAAUUCUAGCAUGAAUAAUAAACAUUUAUCAUGAUAUAAGGAAAUAAAUAAUAACUUUAUUAUUGCCUCUAGGGCAUAUUUCCUUCAGUCUCCCACUUGCACUAGAGUCAAUAAUCUAGUUCACAUCGCCAUGUGAUUUAACAUCAAUAGUUCACAUCACCAUGUGAUUAACACCCAUAGUUCACAUCGUCAUGUGACCAACACCCAAAGGGCUUACUAGAGUCAAUAAUCUAGUUCACAUCGCUAUGUGAUUAACACCCAAAGAGUACUAAGGUGUGAUCAUGUUUUGCUUGUGAGAUAAUUUUAGUCAACGGGUCUGUCACAUUCAGAUCCGUAAGUAUUUUGCAAAUUUUAUGUCUACAAUGCUCUGCACGGAGCUACUCUAGCUAAUUGCUCCCACUUUCAAUAUGUAUCUAGACCGAGACUUAGAGUCAUCUAGAUUUGUGUCAAAACUUGCAUCGACGUAACCCUUUACGACGAAACUUUUUGUCACCCCCAUAAUCAAGAAACAUAUCCUUAUUCCAUUAAGGAUAAUUUUGACCGCUGUCCAGUGAUCUACUCUAGAUCACUAUUGUACUCCCUUGCCAAAAUCAGUGUAGGGUAUACAAUGAUCUGGUACACAGCAUGGCAUACUUUAUAGAACCUAUGGCUGAGGCAUAGGGAAUGACUUUCAUUCUCUUUCUAUCUUCUGCCGUGGUCAGGUUUUGAGUCUUACUCAAUUUCACACCUUGUAACACAGGCAAGAAUCUUUCUUUGACUGUUCCAUUUUGAACUACUUCAAAAUCUUGUCAAGGUAUGUACUCAUUGAAAAAACUUAUCAAGCGUCUUGAUCUAUCUCUAUAGAUCUUGAUGCUCAAUAUGUAAGCAGCUUCACCGAGGUCUUUCUUUGAAAAACUCCUUUCAAACAAUCCUUUAUGCUUUGCAGAAUAAUUCUACAUUAUUUCCGAUCAACAAUAUGUCAUUCACAUAUACUUAUCAGAAAUGUUGUACUGCUCCCACUCACUUUCUUGUAAAUACAGGCUUCACCGCAAGUCUGUAUAAAACUAUAUGCUUUGAUCAACUUAUCAAAGCGUAUAUUCCAGCUCCGAGAUGCUUGCACCAGUCCAUAGAUGGAUCGCUGGAGCUUGCAUAUUUUGUUAGCACCUUUAGGAUUGACAAAACCUUCUGGUUGCAUCAUAUACAACUCUUCUUUAAUAAAUCCAUUAAGGAAUGCAGUUUUGUUUAUCCAUUUGCCAGAUUUCAUAAAAUGCGGCAAUUGCUAACAUGAUUCGGAUAGACUUAAGCAUCGCUGCGAGUGAGAAAAUCUCAUCGUAGUCAACACCUUGAACUUUGUCAAAAACCUUUUUCUACAAGUCUAGCUUUGUAGAUAGUAACACUACUAUCAGCGUCCGUUUUCCUCUUGAAGAUCCAUUUAUUUUCUAUGGCUUGCCGAUCAUCGGGCAAGUCAACCAAAGUCCACACUUUGUUCUCAUACAUGGAUCCAUCUCAGAUUUCAUGGCCUCAAGCCAUUUUGCGGAAUCUGGGCUCACUAUCGCUUCCUCAUAGUUCGUAGGUUCUUCAUGGUCAAGUAACAUGACCUCCAGAACAGGAUUACCGUACCACUCUGGUGCGGAUCUCACUCUGGUUGACCUACGAGGUUCGGUAGUAACUUGAUCCGAAGCUUCAUGAUCAUCAUCAUUAACUUCCUCACUAAUUGGUGUAAGCAUCACUGGAAUUGAUUUCAGUGAUGAACUACUUUCCAAUUUGGGAGAAGGUACAGUUACCUCAUCAAGUUCUACUUUCCUCCCACUCACUUCUUUCGAGAGAAACUCCUUCUCUAGAAAGGAUCCAUUCUUGGCAACGAAUUUGCCUUCGGAUCUGUGAUAGAAGAUAUACCCAAUAGUCACCUUUGGGUAUCCUAUAAAGACGCAUUUCUCCGAUUUGGGUUCAAGCUUAUCAUGUUGAAACUUUUUCACAUAAGCAUCGCAACCCCAAACUUUACGAAACGACAACUUUGGUUUCUUGUCAAACCACAGUUCAUAAGGUGUCAUCUCAACGGAUUUAGAUGGUGCCCUUUUUAACGUGAAUGCAGCUGUCUCUAAUGCAUAACCCCAAAACGAUAGUGGUAGAUUGGUAAGAAACAUCAUAGACCGCACCAUAUCUAAUAAAGUACGGUUAUGACGUCCGGACACACCAUUAUGUUGUGGUUCCAGGUGGCAUGAGUUUGUGAAACUAUUCUACAUUGUUUUAAUUGAAGACCAAACUCGUGACUCAAAUAUUUUCCUCCACGAUCAGAUCGUAGAAACUUUAUUUUCUUGUUACGAUGAUUUUCUACUUCACUCUGAAAUUAUAUGAACUUUUCAAAUGUUUCAGACUUAUGUUUCAUCAAGUAGAUAUACUCAUAUCUGAUCAAAUCAUCUGUGAAGGUCAGAAAAUAAUGAUACCCACCGCGAGCCUCAACACUCAUCGGAUUGCAUACAUCAGUAUGUAUUAUUUCCAAUAAGUCAGUUGCUCGCUCCAUUGUUCCGGAGAACGGAGUCUUAGUCAUCUUGCCCAUAAGGCAUGGUUCGCAAGCAUCAAGUGAUUCCAAAAUCCCAUCAGCAUGGAGUUUCUUCAUGUGCUUUACUCCAAUAUGACUUAAACGGCGGUGCCACAAAUAAGUUGUACUAUCAUUAUUAACUUUGCAUCUUUUGGCUUCAAUAUUAUGAAUAUGUGUAUCACUACGAUCGAGAUCCAACAAAUCAAUUUCACUGGGUGUAUGACCAUAGAAGGUUUUAUUCAUGUAAACAGAACAACAAUUAUUCUCUAACUUAAAUGAAUAACCGUGUUGCAAUAAACAUGAUCAAAUCAUAUUCAUGCUCAAUGCAAACACCAAAUAACACUUAUUUAGGUUCAACACUAAUCUCGAAAGUACAGGGAGUGUGCGAUGAUGAUCAUAUCAAUCUUGGAACUACUUCCAACACACAUCGUCACCUCGCCCUUAACUAGUUUCUGUUCAUUCUGCAAUUCCCGUUUCGAGUUACUACUCUUAGCAACUGAACCAGUAUCAAAUACCGAGGGGUUGCUACGAACACUAGUAAAAUACACAUCAAUAAUCUGUAUAUCAAAUAUACCUUUGUUCACUUUGCCAUCCUUCUUAUCCACCAAAUAUUUGGGGCAGUUCCGCUUCCAGUGACUAGUCCCUUUGCAGUAGAAGCACUUAGUCUCAGGCUUAGGUCCAGACUUGGGCUUCUUCACUUGAGCAGCAACUUGCUUGCCGUUCUUCUUGAAGUUCCCCUUCUAUCCCUUUGCCCUUUUCUUGAAACUAGUGGUCUUCUUAACCAUCAACACUUGAUGCUCUUUCUUGAUUUCUACCUUCGUCGAUUUCAGCAUCGCGAAGAGCUCGGGAAUUACUUUCGUCAUCCCUUGCAUACUAUAGUUCAUCACGAAGUUCUACUAACUUGGUGAUGGUGACUAGAGAAUUCUGUCAAUCACUAUUUUAUCUGGAAGAUUAACUCCCACUUGAUUCAAGCGAUUGUAGUACCCAAACAAUCUGAGCACAUGCUCACUGCCUGAGCUAUUCUCCUCCAUCUUUUAGCUAUAGAACUUGUUGGAGACUUCAUAUCUCUCAACUCGGGUAUUUGCUUGAAAUAUUAACUUCAACUCCUGGAACAUCUCAUAUGGUCCAUGACGUUCAAAACGUCUUUGAAGUCCCGAUUCUAAGCCGUUAAGCAUGGUGCACUAAACUAUCAAGUAGUCAUCAUAUUGAGCUAGCCAAACGUUCAUAACGUCUGCAUCUGCUCCUGCAAUAGGUCUGUCACCUAGCGGUGCAUCAAGGACAUAAUUCUUCUGUGCAGCAAUGAGGAUAAUCCUCAGAUCACGGAUCCAAUCCGCAUCUUUGCUACUAACAUCUUUCAACAUAAUUUUUCUCUAGGAACAUAUCAAAAAUAAACACAAGGAAGCAACAACGCGAGCUAUUGAUCUACAACAUAAUUUGCAAAAUACUAUCAGGACUAAGUUCAUGAUAAAUUUAAGUUCAAUUAAUCAUAUUACUUAAGAACUCCCACUUAGAUAGACAUCCCUCUAAUCAUCUAAGUGAUCACGUGAUCCAAAUCAACUAAACCAUAACCGAUCAUCACGUGAAAUGGAGUAGUUUUCAAUGGUGAACAUCACUAUGUUGAUCAUAUCUAUUAUAUGAUUCACGCUCGACCUUUCAGUCUCAGUGUUCCGAGGCCAUAUCUGCAUAUGCUAGGCUCGUCAAGUUUAACCUGAGUAUUCUGCGUGUGCAAAACUGGCUUGCACCUGUUGUAGAUGGACGUAGAGCUUAUCACACCCGCUCAUCACGUGGUGUCUGGGCACGACAAACUUUGGCAACGGUGCAUACUCAGGGAGAACACUUUUAUCUUGAAAUUUAGUGAGAGAUCAUCUUAUAAUGCUACCGUCAAUCAAAGCAAGAUAAGAUGCAUAAAAGAUAAACAUCACAUGCAAUCAAUAUAAGUGAUAUGAUAUGGCCAUCAUCAUCUUGUGCUUGUGAUCUCCAUCUCCGAAGCACCGUCAUGAUCCCCAUCGUCACCGGCGCGACACCUUGAUCUCCAUCGUAGCAUCGUUGUCGUCCCGCCAACUAUUGCUUCUACGACUAUCGCUACCGCUUAGUGAUAAAGUAAAGCAAUUACAUGGCGAUUGCAUUGCAUACAAUAAAGCGACAACCAUAUGGCUCCUGCCAGUUGCCGAUAACUCGGUUACAAAACAUGAUCAUCUCAUACAAUAAAAUAUAGCAUCAUGCCUUGACCAUAUCACAUCACAACAUGCCCUGCAAAAACAAGUUAGACGUCCUCUACUUUGUUGUUGCAAGUUUUACGUGGCUGCUACGGGCUGAGCAAGAACCGUUCUUACCUACGCAUCAAAAACCACAACGAUAGUUUGUCAAGUUGGUGCUGUUUUAACCUUCGCAAGGACCGGGCGUAGCCACACUCGGUUCAACUAAAGUUGGAGAAACUGACACCCGCCAGCCACCUCUGUGCAAAGCACGUCGGAAGAACCAGUCUCGCGUAAGCGUACGCGUAUGUCGGUCCGGGCCGCUUCAUCCAACAAUACCGCCGAACCAAAGUAUGACAUGCUGGUAGCAGUAUGACUUAUAUCGCCCACAACUCACUUGUGUUCUACUCGUGCAUAUAACAUCAACGCAUAAAACCUGGCUCGGAUGCCACUGUUGGUGAAUGUAGUAAUUUCAAAAAUUUCCUACGCACACGCAAGAUCAUGGUGAUGCAUAGCAACGAGAGGGGAGAGUGUUGUCCACGUACCCUCGUAGACCGAAAGCGGAAGCGUUAGCACAACGCGGUUGAUGUAGUCGUAUGUCUUCACGAUCCGACCGAUCAAGUACCGAACACACGGCACCUCCGAGUUCAGCACAUGUUCAGCUCGAUGACGUCCCUCGAACUCCGAUCCAGCCGAGCUUUGAGGGAGAGUUCCGUCAGCACGACGGCGUGGUGACGAUGAUGAUGUUCUACCGACGCAGGGCUUCGCCUAAGCACCGCUACGAUAUUAUCGAGGUGUAAUAUGGUGGAGGGGGACACCGCACACGGCUAAGAGAUUAAUGAUCAAUUGUUGUGUCUAUGGGGUGCCCCCUGCCCCCGUAUAUAAAGGAGCAGGGGGGAGGCGGCCGGCCAAGGAGGAGGGCGCGCAAAGGGGGGAGUCCUACUCCCACCGGGAGUAGGACUCCUCCUUUCCUUGUUGGAGUAGGAGAGAAGGAAAGAGGGGGAGAGGGAGAAGGAAAAGGGGGCUGCACCCCUUGUCCAAUUCGGACCAGAGGGGGGGUGCACGCCUCCUUCAUUUUGUCCUCUCUCCUCUAUUCCCGUAUGGCCCAAUAAGGCUCAAUACUUCUCCCCGGCGAAUUCCCGUAACUCUCCGGUACUCCGAUAAAUACCCGAAUCACUCGGAACCUUUCCGAAGUCCGAAUAUAGUCGUCCAAUAUAUCGAUCUUUACGCCUCGUCCAUUUUGAGACUCCUCGUCAUGUCCCCGAUCUCAUCUGGGACUCCGAACUACCUUCAGUACAUCAAAACACAUAAACUCAUAAUAUAACCGUCAUCGAACUUUAAGCGUGCGGACCCUACGGGUUCGAGAACUAUGUAGACAUGACCGAGACACGUCUCCGGUCAAUAACCAAUAGCGGAACCUGGAUGCUCAUAUUGGCUCCCACAUAUUCUACGAAGAUCUUUAUCGGUCAGACCGCAUAACAACAUACGUUGUUCCCUUUGUUAUCGGUAUGUUACUUGCCCGAGAUUCGAUCGUCGGUAUCUCAGUACCUAGUUCAAUCUCGUUACCGGCAUGUCUCUUUACUUGUUCCGUAAUACAUCAUCCCACAACUAACUCUUUAGUUGCAAUGCUUGCAAGGCUUAAGUGAUGUGCAUUACCGAGAGGGCCCAGAGAUACCUCUCCGACAAUCGGAGUGACAAAUCCUAAUCUCGAAAUACGCCAACCCAACAAGUACCUUCGAAGACACCUGUAGAGCACCUUUAUAAUCACCCUGUUACGUUGUGACGUUCGGUAGCACACAAAGUGUUCCUCCGGUAAACGGGAGUUGCAUAAUCUCAUAGUCAUAGGAACAUGUAUAAGUCAUGAAGAAAACAAUAGCAGAAUACUAAACGAUUGUGUGCUAAGCUAACGGAAUGGGUCAAGUCAAUCACGUCAUUCUCCUAAUGAUAUGAUCCCGUUAAUCAAAUGACAACUCAUGUCUAUGGCUAGGAAACAUAACCAUCUUUGAUCAACGAGCUAGUCAAGUAGAGGCAUACUAGUGGCACUCUGUUUGUCUAUGUAUUCACACAUGUAUCAGGUUUCCGGUUAAUACAAUUGUAGCAUGAAUAAUAAACAUUUAUCAUGAUAUAAGGAAAUAAAUAAUAACUUUAUUAUUGCCUCUAGGGCAUAUUUCCUUCAAGUAUUUCUAUUACAGAAAAUUAUAAUCAAAGACAACACAAUAAGCAGUCCAUGCAUACAAAAAAUAGAGUAUAGAAGUGGAAGCUGAACUAAAAGUGCAAUGGACAGUGGCAUGAGGUGAUAAUACCCUCCAUUAACCAGACCUUCCAGUUUGAGGAUUAUUAGUGUGAUAGGUAUCUACCGCACAACCCUGCGAUGUGUAACCUGAGGUCCCUGACCAAAGAAACCAGCAGCGGCUCUCUCAACAAAAUUUGGGUCCAAAAUACCAAAUGGGUUGCCCAUAGGUCAGCUAAAUAUGGGAUCAAAUGGUUCAUCCAGAUCCAUCAUGUCAGCAUGACUGUCGGGUAUUGAAUUCUGAUGGAUUCUUGUGCUGAAAAUCAUAAAGCUUGGUUACACUUCAUAAAGUGAAUUUCAUGGGUGUUAGGACAGUAAAGGCAAAGGAAACUCACACAUUACUUAACUAUCCUUUUGGGGUCAUCACAAUGUUGCUUGCCUAUUCUGUUUGAAGCAAAUCUACGUACACAAGUGUCUACAUUAACCAUUUAUGUUUUCCUUUACUACUGUUGUUAAAGGUAACAGUUUUUAUUCUGAUGACAACCCAAAUAAUCUUAGCAACCAGGUGAGUUUCAAUCGAAGCUGAGAAGGGGAUAGUGACUGCUUACAUCAAGACAGAAUCCCAAAUUGCUUGCGGGAGCACCAAGCUAUCCUAGCAACAGAACAACGCAAUUAGAACCUCUUCGAAUCUUCAUCAAAUUUUUAACUGAAUGUAGAUACGAUGAGCCAGAGGAGAAUCAAUGGCUUACUGCUAGUUCCUGGAGGAGG
Molecule: long non-coding RNA, 11012 nt
Filed under: Triticum aestivum (bread wheat)
Lineage: Eukaryota; Viridiplantae; Streptophyta; Magnoliopsida; Poales; Poaceae
Description: long non-coding RNA (TAES_LNC013100)
Source: RNAcentral